Molecule: non-coding RNA, 23 nt
Filed under: Cricetulus griseus (Chinese hamster)
Lineage: Eukaryota; Metazoa; Chordata; Mammalia; Rodentia; Cricetidae
Source: RNAcentral
GUGGUAGUGGGGGACUGCGUUCG